AUUGAACGCUGGCGGAAUGCUUUACUCAUGCAAGUCGAACGGCAGCACGGGAGCAAUCCUGGUGGCGAGUGGCGAACGGGUGAGUAGAGUAUCGGAACGUGCCCAGUCGUGGGGGAUAACGUAGCGAAAGUUACGCUAAUACCGCAUACGAUCUAUGGAUGAAAGCGGGGGAUCGCAAGACCUCGCGCGAUUGGAGCGGCCGAUAUCAGAUUGGGUAGUUGGGGGGGUAAAGGCUCACCAAGCCGACGAUCUGUAGCUGGGCUGAGAGGACGACCAGCCACACUGGGACUGAGAAACGGCCCAGACUCCUACGGGAGGCAGCAGUGGGGAAUUUUGGACAAUGGGCGAAAGCCUGAUCCAGCCAUGCCGCGUGGAGGAUGAAGGCCUUCGGGUUGUAAACUGCUUUUGUACGGAACGAAAAGGUUUGACCUAAUAAGCUGAGCUCAUGACGGUACCGUAAGAAUAAGCACCGGCUAACUACGUGCCAGCCGCCGCCGUAA
RNAcentral lists this ribosomal RNA (500 nucleotides) under uncultured bacterium. RNAcentral's name for it is "partial 16S ribosomal RNA". It matches the Rfam family "Bacterial small subunit ribosomal RNA", at positions 30 to 523 of the family's 1533-position model. The record is from RNAcentral.